This 478-nucleotide ribosomal RNA is filed under the name uncultured bacterium. RNAcentral's name for it is "partial 16S ribosomal RNA". It matches the Rfam family "Bacterial small subunit ribosomal RNA", at positions 28 to 507 of the family's 1533-position model. The record is from RNAcentral.
GAUGAACGCUGGCGGCGUGCUUAACACGUGCAAGUCGAACGGGAAUUAUUUUAUUGAAACUUCGGUCGAUUUCAUUUAAUUCUAGUGGCGGACGGGUGAGUAACGCGUGGGUAACCUGCCUUAUACAGGGGGAUAACAGUCAGAAAUGGCUGCUAAUACCGCAUAAGCGCACAGAGCUGCAUGGCUCAGUGUGAAAAACUCCGGUGGUAUAAGAUGGACCCGCGUUGGAUUAGCUGGUUGGUGGGGUAACGGCCCACCAAGGCGACGAUCCAUAGCCGGCCUGAGAGGGUGAACGGCCACAUUGGGACUGAGACACGGCCCAGACUCCUACGGGAGGCAGCAGUGGGGAAUAUUGCACAAUGGGGGAAACCCUGAUGCAGCGACGCCGCGUGAAGGAAGAAGUAUCUCGGUAUGUAAACUUCUAUCAGCAGGGAAGAUAGUGACGGUACCUGACUAAGAAGCCCCGGCUAACUACGUG